UACGGAGGGUGCGAGCGUUGUCCGGAAUCACUGGGCGUAAAGGGCGCGUAGGCGGCUCAUGAAGGCUGUGGUGAAAGUCCGGGGCUCAACCUCGGAUCGGCCGUGGCGACUCGUGGGCUGGAGCACUGUAGAGGCGGGUGGAAUUCCUGGGGUAGCGGGGAAAUGCGCAGAGAUCAGGAGGAACACCAAUGGCGAAGGCAGCUCGCUGGGACGGUACUGACGCUGAGGCGCGAAAGCGUGGGGAGCAAACAGG
This 253-nucleotide ribosomal RNA is filed under the name uncultured bacterium. Its description in RNAcentral is "partial 16S ribosomal RNA". It matches the Rfam family "Bacterial small subunit ribosomal RNA", at positions 524 to 776 of the family's 1533-position model. The record is from RNAcentral.